Molecule: ribosomal RNA, 380 nt
Filed under: uncultured bacterium
Lineage: Bacteria
Description: bacterial SSU rRNA
Rfam family: Bacterial small subunit ribosomal RNA
Source: RNAcentral
AACGAACGCUGGCGGCAGGCCUAACACAUGCAAGUCGAACGAACCUUCGGGUUAGUGGCGAACGGGUGAGUAACACGUGGGCAACCUGCCCCGAGCUCUGGGAUAACUCCGGGAAACCGGGGCUAAUACCGGAUAUGACCAUCACGGGCAUCUUUGAUGGUGGAAAGUUUUUCGGCUCGGGAUGGGCCCGCGGCCUAUCAGCUUGUUGGUGGGGUAAUGGCCUACCAAGGCGACGACGGGUAGCCGGCCUGAGAGGGCGACCGGCCACACUGGGACUGAGACACGGCCCAGACUCCUACGGGAGGCAGCAGUGGGGAAUAUUGCGCAAUGGGCGAAAGCCUGACGCAGCGACGCCGCGUGAGGGACGAAGGCCUUCGGUU